Molecule: unclassified non-coding RNA, 310 nt
Filed under: Thiocapsa roseopersicina
Lineage: Bacteria; Pseudomonadati; Pseudomonadota; Gammaproteobacteria; Chromatiales; Chromatiaceae
Description: Long range pseudoknot
Source: RNAcentral
ACGGACGAAGGAGACUAUCAGGUCAAACUACGCAGCCUGAUGCGUUUCCUCAACGAAGGGGAUAAGGGCAAGGUCACCAUGCGGUUUCGCGGGCGCGAGCAUGCGCAUCGCGAGCUCGGUCUGGAGCUGUUGAAGCGGAUCGAAAACGACCUUGCGUCCGUCAGCAUCGUGGAGCAACAACCCCAAAUGGAAGGACGCCAAAUGGUCAUGGUGCUGGGCCCCAAAAAGAAAUAGCGACGCGCAUCGUCAAGCCAACGGGCGAAUCACACUGAGUGUCUCGAGGAGACGAUUGUCGGUCGAUACGACCGAU